Puntigrus tetrazona (Sumatra barb) is the source of this 223-nucleotide long non-coding RNA. RefSeq lists it as uncharacterized. The transcript has 3 exons. NCBI's taxonomy places the organism in Eukaryota, Metazoa, Chordata, Actinopteri, Cypriniformes, Cyprinidae. The record is from RefSeq and is a predicted model, not a curated record.
UUCUCACUGAAGUUAAAAGCAAAUUUGGGUUUGCAAGCUCUGCAGCUCUUCAAGUCUUUGAUGACACAGACACCAAUGUGGAGGAGGACAUCUUCCAAGAACUGAUUGAAGCCAAUCCACAUUUAUGUUUAACUGUUAAAUGUCUGGAAGAACUUUCUGCUGGCCUGCCAGAGGUGAAUACACCAACAAGAUCCUCGACCCCCAGCACAUGCACUGAUACUCU